GGACGAGUGGCCUAGUCUGGAUAUGGCGGCAGCCUCCUAAGCUGCAAGCCGGGGGUUCGAAUCCCCUCUCGUCCGCCA
This 78-nucleotide transfer RNA is filed under the name Thermoplasmatales archaeon BRNA1. RNAcentral's name for it is "tRNA-Arg (CCT) (tRNA-Arg-CCT-1-1)". It matches the Rfam family "tRNA". From Rfam's summary of the family: Transfer RNA (tRNA) molecules are approximately 80 nucleotides in length. Their secondary structure includes four short double-helical elements and three loops (D, anti-codon, and T loops). Further hydrogen bonds mediate the characteristic L-shaped molecular structure. tRNAs have two regions of fundamental functional importance: the anti-codon, which is responsible for specific mRNA codon recognition, and the 3' end, to which the tRNAs corresponding amino acid is attached (by aminoacyl-tRNA synthetases). tRNAs cope with the degeneracy of the genetic code in two manners: having more than one tRNA (with a specific anti-codon) for a particular amino acid; and 'wobble' base-pairing, i.e. permitting non-standard base-pairing at the 3rd anti-codon position. RNAcentral also lists the same sequence under 2 other names. The record is from RNAcentral. Lineage: Archaea; Methanobacteriati; Thermoplasmatota; Thermoplasmata; Thermoplasmatales.